RNAcentral lists this ribosomal RNA (250 nucleotides) under uncultured bacterium. Its description in RNAcentral is "partial 16S ribosomal RNA". It matches the Rfam family "Bacterial small subunit ribosomal RNA", at positions 524 to 773 of the family's 1533-position model. The record is from RNAcentral.
UACGUAGGGGGCGAGCGUUGUCCGAAUUUACUGGGCGUAAAGCGCGCGUAGGCGGGCUAUUAAGUUGUGGGUGAAAUCCCGGGGCUCAACCCCGGAACUGCCUGCAAAACUGGUAGCCUUGAGGUAUGGAGAGGGAAGUGGAAUUCCAGGUGUAGCGGUGAAAUGCGUAGAUAUCUGGAGGAACACCCGUGGCGAAGGCGGCUUCCUGGCCAUAUCCUGACGCUGAGGUGCGAAAGCUAGGGGAGCGAAC